Molecule: small nucleolar RNA, 135 nt
Organism: Saimiri boliviensis boliviensis (Bolivian squirrel monkey)
Lineage: Eukaryota; Metazoa; Chordata; Mammalia; Primates; Cebidae
Gene: SNORA71
Rfam family: Small nucleolar RNA SNORA71
About the family: The members of this family belong to the H/ACA class of snoRNAs which bind a number of proteins (including dyskerin, Gar1p and Nop10p) to form snoRNP complexes. This class of snoRNAs are thought to guide the sites of modification of uridines to pseudouridines by forming direct base pairing interactions with substrate RNAs.
Source: Ensembl
GCCUGCAUGCGUAAGUGAUCACGGCUGCCCAUGUCCUGGUCAUUGACAGUGCAGGCAGAGGAAAUGUGGGAAAGGUUGUCCGGUGUUUGGAGGGUCCACAUUGUCACCUUCGUGUCCCAGGAAGUUUCCUGCACU